RNAcentral lists this small RNA (93 nucleotides) under Escherichia coli. RNAcentral describes it as "partial RtT sRNA". It matches the Rfam family "RtT RNA", at positions 1 to 88 of the family's 130-position model. From Rfam's summary of the family: This family represents a bacterial cis-regulatory element known as RtT RNA. Lineage: Bacteria; Pseudomonadati; Pseudomonadota; Gammaproteobacteria; Enterobacterales; Enterobacteriaceae. The record is from RNAcentral. RNAcentral also lists the same sequence under 1 other name.
UUGCAUUUGAAGCCCAUGAGGAUGAGAACCUCCGGGGGCGGGGAGGUUCGACUCGAGCGAAGCGAGAGAACGUUGCGCCAGCAACGGCCCGCA